AAUCUGUGUUGUGGACACUUCUGCAAGAGAUCCUUGAAUCACUUCCACGUCUAAACAAGGAUUCAAGCUCCCUCUGAACAAAUGAUGAUAUCUCAUUAUGAAGUUU
Dioscorea cayenensis subsp. rotundata (Guinea yam) is the source of this 106-nucleotide small nucleolar RNA. NCBI's taxonomy places the organism in Eukaryota, Viridiplantae, Streptophyta, Magnoliopsida, Dioscoreales, Dioscoreaceae. The record is from RefSeq and is a predicted model, not a curated record.